UAGGGAAUCCUCCACAAUGGGCGAAAGCCUGAUGGAGCAACGCCGCGUGUGUGAUGAAGGGUUUCGGCUCGUAAAACACUGUUGUAAGAGAAGAAUGACAUUGAGAGUAACUGUUCAAUGUGUGACGGUAUCUUACCAGAAAGGAACGGCUAAAUACGUGCCAC
This 164-nucleotide ribosomal RNA is filed under the name uncultured bacterium. RNAcentral's name for it is "partial 16S rRNA". It matches the Rfam family "Bacterial small subunit ribosomal RNA", at positions 355 to 511 of the family's 1533-position model. The record is from RNAcentral.